UAGAAGCAGCCAUCAUUUAAAGAAAGCGUAAUAGCUCACUGGUCGAGUCGGCCUGCGCGGAAGAUGUAACGGGGCUAAACCAUGCACCGAAGCUGCGGCAGCGACGCUGAUGCGUUGUUGGGUAGGGGAGCGUUCUGUAAGCCUGUGAAGGUGUGCUGUGAGGCAUGCUGGAGGUAUCAGAAGUGCGAAUGCUGACAUAAGUAACGAUAAAGCGGGUGAAAAGCCCGCUCGCCGGAAGACCAAGGGUUCCUGUCCAACGUUAAUCGGGGCAGGGUGAGUCGACCCCUAAGGCGAGGCCGAAAGGCGUAGUCGAUGGGAAACAGGUUAAUAUUCCUGUACUUGGUGUUACUGCGAAGGGGGGACGGAGAAGGCUAUGUUGGCCGGGCGACGGUUGUCCCGGUUUAAGCGUGUAGGCUGGUUUUCCAGGCAAAUCCGGAAAACUAAGGCUGAGGCGUGAUGACGAGGCACUACGGUGCUGAAGCAACAAAUGCCCUGCUUCCAGGAAAAGCCUCUAAGCAUCAGGUAACAUCAAAUCGUACCCCAAACCGACACAGGUGGUCAGGUAGAGAAUACCAAGGCGCUUGAGAGAACUCGGGUGAAGGAACUAGGCAAAAUGGUGCCGUAACUUCGGGAGAAGGCACGCUGAUAUGUAGGUGAAGUCCCUCGCGGAUGGAGCUGAAAUCAGUCGAAGAUACCAGCUGGCUGCAACUGUUUAUUAAAAACACAGCACUGUGCAAACACGAAAGUGGACGUAUACGGUGUGACGCCUGCCCGGUGCCGGAAGGUUAAUUGAUGGGGUCAGCGCAAGCGAAGCUCUUGAUCGAAGCCCCGGUAAACGGCGGCCGUAACUAUAACGGUCCUAAGGUAGCGAAAUUCCUUGUCGGGUAAGUUCCGACCUGCACGAAUGGCGUAAUGAUGGCCAGGCUGUCUCCACCCGAGACUCAGUGAAAUUGAACUCGCUGUGAAGAUGCAGUGUACCCGCGGCAAGACGGAAAGACCCCGUGAACCUUUACUAUAGCUUGACACUGAACAUUGAGCCUUGAUGUGUAGGAUAGGUGGGAGGCUUUGAAGUGUGGACGCCAGUCUGCAUGGAGCCGACCUUGAAAUACCACCCUUUAAUGUUUGAUGUUCUAACGUUGACCCGUAAUCCGGGUUGCGGACAGUGUCUGGUGGGUAGUUUGACUGGGGCGGUCUCCUCCUAAAGAGUAACGGAGGAGCACGAAGGUUGGCUAAUCCUGGUCGGACAUCAGGAGGUUAGUGCAAUGGCAUAAGCCAGCUUGACUGCGAGCGUGACGGCGCGAGCAGGUGCGAAAGCAGGUCAUAGUGAUCCGGUGGUUCUGAAUGGAAGGGCCAUCGCUCAACGGAUAAAAGGUACUCCGGGGAUAACAGGCUGAUACCGCCCAAGAGUUCAUAUCGACGGCGGUGUUUGGCACCUCGAUGUCGGCUCAUCACAUCCUGGGGCUGAAGUAGGUCCCAAGGGUAUGGCUGUUCGCCAUUUAAAGUGGUACGCGAGCUGGGUUUAGAACGUCGUGAGACAGUUCGGUCCCUAUCUGCCGUGGGCGCUGGAGAACUGAGGGGGGCUGCUCCUAGUACGAGAGGACCGGAGUGGACGCAUCACUGGUGUUCGGGUUGUCAUGCCAAUGGCACUGCCCGGUAGCUAAAUGCGGAAGAGAUAAGUGCUGAAAGCAUCUAAGCACGAAACUUGCCCCGAGAUGAGUUCUCCCUGACUCCUUGAGAGUCCUGAAGGAACGUUGAAG
Molecule: ribosomal RNA, 1757 nt
Filed under: Escherichia coli
Lineage: Bacteria; Pseudomonadati; Pseudomonadota; Gammaproteobacteria; Enterobacterales; Enterobacteriaceae
Description: partial 23S ribosomal RNA
Rfam family: Bacterial large subunit ribosomal RNA
Source: RNAcentral